This 440-nucleotide ribosomal RNA is filed under the name uncultured bacterium. Its description in RNAcentral is "partial 16S ribosomal RNA". It matches the Rfam family "Bacterial small subunit ribosomal RNA", at positions 338 to 795 of the family's 1533-position model. The record is from RNAcentral.
CCUACGGGAGGCUGCAGUGGGGAAUAUUGCACAAUGGGGGAAACCCUGCUGCAGCGACGCCGCGUGAGUGAAGAAGUAUCUCGGUACGUAAAGCUCUAUCAGCAGGGAAGAAAAUGACGGUACCUGACUAAGAAGCCCCGGCUAACUACGUGCCAGCAGCCGCGGUAAGACGUAGGGGGCCAGCGUUAUCCGGAUUUACUGGGUGGAAAGGGAGCGUAGACGGCAGCACAAGUCUGGAGUGAAAUCCCGGGGCUUAACCCCAGAACGGCUUUGGAAAAUGUGCGGCUGGAGUGCAGGAGGGGUAAGCGGAAUUCCUAGUGUAGCGGUGAAAUGCGUAGAGAUUAGGAGGAACACCGGUGGCGAAGGCGGCUUACUGGACUGUAACUGACGUUGAGGCUCGAAAGCGUGGGGAGCAAACAGGAUUAGAUACCCCAGUAGUC